This 438-nucleotide ribosomal RNA is filed under the name Triticum aestivum (bread wheat). Its description in RNAcentral is "partial small subunit ribosomal RNA". Lineage: Eukaryota; Viridiplantae; Streptophyta; Magnoliopsida; Poales; Poaceae. The record is from RNAcentral.
AUGUUUUUGACCAUGCCAAAAUCUGGUGUCAACACUGCGCCAAAGAUUUUCGCUCGAUUUAGGUCUUUGAUUUCGCCGAUUCAUCCGCCGGUGCCGGAUAUGGCGUGCGUCGACAUCCAUGGCAUGAGCGUGACGCUCACGUUGGUGGACCAGCUGUCGCUCGCCGGGAAGAAGAGAUCCGCCGACGAGGAUCUUGUCCUCGCCGACGAGUCCGAGGCCCGUGGAUGGUCAUCGGCGGUCUCGGACCGCAGGCUCGCCCUGCGCCGCCGGAGAGGUCCGGCUUCCUCUUCCUGCCGCCGCGGCUGCAUCGUGGUGACGGAGCCGCCGGACUGCCGUGCCGAGGAGGCGGUUCAGCAGGUUGCCGCGGAAGAAUUCGAAGGCAUUCUGGAGCGCGAGGCUUUGUCUGUAGAGGAGCUGGUUUACUUCACCAUCUUCUAG